This 460-nucleotide ribosomal RNA is filed under the name uncultured bacterium. Its description in RNAcentral is "partial 16S ribosomal RNA". It matches the Rfam family "Bacterial small subunit ribosomal RNA", at positions 338 to 795 of the family's 1533-position model. The record is from RNAcentral.
CCUACGGGAGGCAGCAGUGAGGAAUAUUGGUCAAUGGACGAGAGUCUGAACCAGCCAAGUAGCGUGAAGGAUGAAUGCCCUAUGGGUGGUAAACUUCUUUUAUAUGGGAAUAAAAUGUUCCACGUGUGGGAUUUUGUAUGUACCAUAUGAAUAAGGAUCGGCUAACUCCGUGCCAGCAGCCGCGGUAAUACGGAGGAUCCGGGCGUUAUCCGGAUUUAUUGGGUUUAAAGGGGGCGUAGGUGGAUUGUUAAGUCAGUUGUGAAAGUUUGCGGCUCAACCGUAAAAUUGCAGUUGAAACUGGCAGUCUUGAGUACAGUAGAGGUGGGCGGAAUUCGUGGUGUAGCGGUGAAAUGCUUAGAUAUCACGAAGAACUCCGAUUGUGAAGGCAGCUCACUGGACUGCAACUGACACUGAGGCUCGAAAGUGUGGGUAUCAAACAGGAUUAGAUACCCUAGUAGUC